AAUUGGAGGGCAAGUCUGGUGCCAGCAGCCGCGGUAAUUCCAGCUCCAAUAGCGUAUAUUAAAGUUGUUGCAGUUAAAAAGCUCGUAGUUGAAUUUCGGGAUCAAUAUUUCGGUCAUGCCGUUGGUAUGCACUGUUAUCAUUGAUUUCUCACCUUCUAAAGAACCGUAAUGCCAUUAAUUUGGUGUUACGGGGAAUUAGGACUGUUACCUUGAAAAAAUUAGAGUGUUUAAAGCAGGCUCACGCUUGAAUACAUUAGCAUGGAAUAAUGAAAUAGGACAUCCGAUUCUAUUUUGUUGGUUUCUAGGAUCGAUGUAAUGAUUAAUAGGGAUAGUUGGGGGCAUUAGUAUUCAAUUGUCAGAGGUGAAAUUCUUGGAUUUAUUGAAGACUAACUACUGCGAAAGCAUUUGCCAAGGAUGUUUUCAUUAAUCAAGAACGAAAGUUAGGGGAUCGAAGACGAUCAGAUACCGUCGUAGUCUUAACCAUAAACUAUGCCGACUAGGGAUCGGAUGAUGUUAAUUUUUUAACGACUCAUUCGGCGCCUUACGGGAAACCAAAGUGU
This 560-nucleotide ribosomal RNA is filed under the name uncultured Glomus. Its description in RNAcentral is "SSU rRNA". It matches the Rfam family "Eukaryotic small subunit ribosomal RNA", at positions 546 to 1106 of the family's 1831-position model. Lineage: Eukaryota; Fungi; Glomeromycota; Glomeromycetes; Glomerales; Glomeraceae. The record is from RNAcentral.